AGUGAACGCUGGCGGUAGGCCUAACACAUGCAAGUCGAACGGCAGCACAGUAAGAGCUUGCUCUUACGGGUGGCGAGUGGCGGACGGGUGAGGAAUACAUCGGAAUCUACUUUUUCGUGGGGGAUAACGUAGGGAAACUUACGCUAAUACCGCAUACGACCUACGGGUGAAAGCAGGGGAUCUUCGGACCUUGCGCGAUUGAAUGAGCCGAUGUCGGAUUAGCUAGUUGGCGGGGUAAAGGCCCACCAAGGCGACGAUCCGUAGCUGGUCUGAGAGGAUGAUCAGCCACACUGGAACUGAGACACGGUCCAGACUCCUACGGGAGGCAGCAGUGGGGAAUAUUGGACAAUGGGCGCAAGCCUGAUCCAGCCAUACCGCGUGGGUGAAGAAGGCCUUCGGGUUGUAAAGACCUUUUGUUGGGAAAGAAAAGCAGCAGGUUAAUACCCAGCUGUUCUGACGGUACCCAAAGAAUAAGCACCGGCUAACUUCGUG
Molecule: ribosomal RNA, 492 nt
Filed under: uncultured bacterium
Lineage: Bacteria
Description: partial 16S ribosomal RNA
Rfam family: Bacterial small subunit ribosomal RNA
Source: RNAcentral